AUUAUCAUUCCUUAUUAUGCAUUUCUUAAGUUUAAUUUUGCAAUCAGGAUAUUCUUAGAAGAACUUUCAUACAUGUAUUAAAAUUGAUUUUUAAUUGAAUUUUAAAUAUAAAUAAUAAUAAUUUGAACAAUGAAAAAUAAUAUAAAGUUUUUUUUAUUUUUUUUUGUAAUGUGUUUUUUAUAAAUAUUAAAAUGAUGUUUUUGUUUUUUGUUUUAUAUAUUUGAGGGCUUUAUGGGCCUUUUAAGGUAUUGUUUCGUUAUGGGCCCAUGGGGAGGGCAUCCUUUUGGACCUUUUCCUCUUUAAAGAUGAGACACUCAAGAUGGAGCAGAUUGCAGUAAUCUGGAGAGAAACCUUUGCAGAUGAGAUGACAGGGCGGCGACAAGCGUUUUUAGGGUUUCUGCCGCUGCUUUUCACUUACAACAAUAAAUAGACAGGUGGGUGGACAUUGUUUGCAGAGACAAGUGGAUGGUUUUAAAAUUUAGUUAAAAUAUAAUGGGCAGCAAAGGUUACUCUUCUGGCUUUCAUAGUUAUAACAUCUUGAUCAAUGGCCAUUGUAAGAGUAGAAGGAUCCAUGAAGCAAUAACUCUCUUUGCUAAAAUGUGUGAUAAAACAUUGACUCCUGGUAUUUCACUCUUACAGUGCCCAUUGAUUAAGAUGGUAUAAUGUUGUUAUCAAGGGAUUUCUUCUCAAAAACUGCACAUCACACAUUGUACAAGAUCUCAACGACAAGUUUGAUAGAAGAUCUUUGUGCAUUCAUCCAUGGUAAGCAUGCUAAUGGAUCUGGUAUCCGAUGGCAAAAUUAUAAUGUGUUUCUAUGAGGAGAUUCUCGAAAUGGGAAUUUCAAUUGAAGUAUCAUUUUCAGCUCAGCAAUGCUGUGGAGGUCUUCCUUCAAAAUAGUUAGGCUGCAAUAACUCAUGUAAGUUAUUGUUACCCAAUUUGUCCACCUUAAGAACGGUAGAAUCUACCAUUUCCUCUUCAUAUGGUGAUGUGUCUUGGCUCUAGGUCAUGCUGUAGGUUCUACUGUAUAUAUGGUAAAAAGUGAUAAGUGAUUAUUGUUCUUGCUGGUUGUUCCUGAUAAAUUUACAUGUUUGAGUAAUCCAAGGGUUUAUUUUUGGGGCUACUUUUGUUGAAUUUAAAAGAACACAACCUCCGCUAAUUCUCUACACUUCUCCUUCGAUCAUGAGCUCUUGGUUUAUAACUCGUUUAAGGUACUAAGGUUGAUGAUUUAAUGAUGACAUUUGAUUCUGUUCAUUGGGAA
This is a long non-coding RNA of Populus trichocarpa (black cottonwood), 1258 nucleotides long. RefSeq lists it as uncharacterized. The record is from RefSeq and is a predicted model, not a curated record. The transcript is spliced from 2 exons. NCBI's taxonomy places the organism in Eukaryota, Viridiplantae, Streptophyta, Magnoliopsida, Malpighiales, Salicaceae.